GUAUUAGUUACGUUCAUUGUUUAGCUAUAAAUACAGCUUUGUAACUCUGAUAUUAUCAAGCAAUCAAAUACACAAAUCUAAUAACAAUUAUUCAAAACCUUAUACACUGCAGCAACAGCCUACUGAUCAGCCCCUUGGCUGUGUAUCACAACGGUAACAGCAACCUGCUGACCAGCUAGCAGUUGCUGGCCGAGGUCAGCAGCCUUCCACGGAGGAAGAGGUAUUGGGGCAUUCCACAAUCAUUUUUUUUAACCAUGAAAAGUGAAGCAACUACAACAUCAAUGUCGGUAGAUGAUGAGGUUGAUGAAUCUAAUGCCGCCCGUAAGCGUAAAUGGAGUAGGAAAUCUAAAGUUUGGCAAGAAAUGACAGAAGGAAAGAAUGCUAAAGGUGAGCGAAUUGCUAUUUGUAAGCAUUGUAAAGUGGAGUUAAUUACCCACAAAAAUAGUGGCACAUCUCAUUUAAUACGUCAUUUGCUUGAAGUGUGUAAAAAACGAUCUACUGGACUUCCACUUGGGGAGGCGGUUGAUGAUGAGGAAGAAUUUGUUUUUUAUAUGAGUGAAUUAAGAAAGGAGAUUUUAUUGUAUGUUGUUGAAGGUUCUCAUUCUUUUUCAAUCGUGGAAGAAAAAGGUUUUAGGCGGAUGAUGUUAAAGUCUAAUCCUAAAUUUAAACCAUUUAGUCGAACAACUUUAAGUAGAGACCUUUUUUCUUUGUAUGCCUCUUAUAGAGAGAAAUAAAAAAAAUUUUGAGGAGUGCACCCGGACGAAUAUGUUUGACAACUGAUAAUUGGAAAUCAUCACACACUUGGCAACAUUACAUUUGCAUAACCGUCCAUUUUAUUGAUCAUGAUUGGAAACUUCAUAAAAGGAUCAUUAAGUUCACAUCAUUGUCACCCCCUUUUGAUGGACAAAGCAUCUCCGAAGAGAUUUUUAUGUUUCUUCACCAAUGGCAUUUAGAUGACAAAGUGCUUAGCUUAACGGUUGACAAUGCAAGUUACAAUAAUGUGAUGGUUAAGUACAUGAAAAAUCGUCUUAGAUCAAGGGGAAUGUUGGUUAGUGGUGGUUGUUUUUUUCAUAUUAGAUGUUGUGCUCAUAUCAUCAAUCUUAUUGUCCAAUCCGGUCUAUCUUGUAUUGAGAACAUAUUAGAUAGGAUUAGAAACUUGGUAAAAUUAGUUAUAAGAUCAUCUUCUAGAAGUAAGGAUUUUUAUGAUACCGCUCAAAAGCAUUUUCAUUUAGAGGCUAAGAGGAAACUUUGUAUGGACAUGCAAGUUCGUUGGAACUCUACAUAUAUGAUGCUUGAUAAUGUGCUUUACUAUAAAGAUGUGUUUAUUCAUUUGGGGUCAUUACAUGCAUCUUUCAAGAGUAAUGUGCCUUUGGAGGAUGAAUGGGAUAAAUUGAGUGUUGUUCACAAUUUUUUGAAACUCUUUUAUGAUGUUACAUGUAUGUUCUCGGCCAAUAAGUCUCCAACUUCUAACAUGUAUUUUAAGGGAGCAUGUAUGGUACAUCGUCGUUUACUUGAGACAUCUAAAGGUCCAAAUGAAUUUUUAGCUCAAAUGGUGUUACCUAUGUUGGAAAAAUUUGACAAAAUAGGUCCGAGUAUAACAUAUAUCUAGCUUGUGCGGCAAUUCUUGACCCAAGGUUUAAGUUAAAAUUUGUGGAGUAUUGUUUUAACAAGAUAUAUGGUUCGGAUGAGGCUAUGUAUCAAGUUGAAAAAGUGUUGAACACUUUAAAAUCUUUGUAGAAUGAGUAUAAGUCAACAUUUUCAACUUCCCCAAUUGUUGCUCCCUCUACUACAAGUAGUAGGAUUGAAGAUGAAAACUUCUUUGAUGAUUAUCAAAGCUAUAGUUCUAGAAUUACAAGGACUCAAACAAAAAAAGUCCCAACUUAAGUCAUAUUUGGAGGAAUCGGAGCUAGACUUCCGGAGCUUGCAAUAUUGGCACGGGAUCUUCUAACGAUUCCGGUUAGUACGGUGGCUUCCGAGUCGGCUUUUAGUGUAGGGGGGAAAACUAUAUCUCUUAAUCGUAGCUCAUUGAAACCCUCAAUGGUUCAAGCCCUAGUUUGUGUUCAAGAUUGGCGCCGUGAUGAAUAUAACAUCCCUUCAAAUUUGGAUCGUGAUUCUAGCUCGGAUGAUGAUGAGGCCGUUGAUGAUGGAGAUAAUGAUGAUGAGGUUGAUGAUAUUUUCCUAUACUAGAAUCCCUGCUGUUGGUUUCCCUGGUUUGGUUAAUGGUCAACAUAUGCCUGCUACCUCGACUACCCCUGAGAAAUCAGGACGCACUACCACACGGAAGCGUGGAGAGAAAGAACUGGAGUUACUACUCAUUAGUAUCUAGUGAGUCACUUGAUUGUAACAAAUUUGUGUGUCUAAUUUGUGUCAAGAGCAUUUCUAAGUUACUUGAUUGUAACAAAUUUGUGACAAGAACAUUGCUUAGUUCUCUAUUUUUAACUUGUUGGCUAAGACCCUUUAAAGCCCUUUAUAAUUCUCUUAUAUUGUGUUUACUUCAUGGUUGUUGUAGUUUGUUUUUACAUUUUAAAUUGGCCGGGCUGGGCUUAAUGGCCCAUGGAUAAGUUUAGCCCAUUUUGUAUUAUGCUUGGCCCGGCCCAUUUAAUAUAAAGUCCGGCCCGGCCCGUUGAAUAGGUCUAGUCGUCACCCACCUUACCCUAAAACCACCAACCACAAUCGUCAACCACCUAACCCUAAAACCGACCCACCCUCCGAACCUUAAAAUCGACCUGGACCACAACCCACACACCUAACCUAAAGAUCGACCCACCUACUUAACCCUUUAAAUCAACCCAGACAAUGACCCACCCAUCUAGCCCCUUAAACCGACCAAGAUCCACCCACUGCAACCCUAAAACCACCAACGAGCCACCACCACCACAACCUAAAUUUGUUUUUAAAAAAAAAUUAUAAACAAAUGAAAGAAAAUUAAAA
Chenopodium quinoa (quinoa) is the source of this 2931-nucleotide RNA transcript. RefSeq lists it as uncharacterized. Lineage: Eukaryota; Viridiplantae; Streptophyta; Magnoliopsida; Caryophyllales; Amaranthaceae. The transcript is spliced from 3 exons. The record is from RefSeq and is a predicted model, not a curated record.